This 3451-nucleotide long non-coding RNA is filed under the name Homo sapiens (human). RNAcentral describes it as "HSALNT0290744". The record is from RNAcentral. Lineage: Eukaryota; Metazoa; Chordata; Mammalia; Primates; Hominidae.
GGAUCAGUGGCCUGGGUCCUGUCACUUUUUUGGACCCCAUGCUCUUCAGUCUCACCGGUCCUCAGUUGACACUUGACAGCUCACUUGGGGCUCUUCCUUGAGAUGCAGGACAGCCAGAGAUCCUGGCACUGAGGAGACAUGUCUCGUAUAAGCAGUAAAGGGAUUCAGACAGUACAAGACCUCAGCCUUAGACGCAAGGCUCCUCCGCUAGUGAGAGGUGGAAUUGGAGUCCAGGUUUUUGACACAGAACGCAGGAUUUUCUCCACCUCGCUGUGUUGCCUGUUACACCUCCCUGUGUUUCACAGCACUUUCAGUCAUUUACAUGCUUGGUUCUGGCAGCAGUGCUCUGAGGCUGGAGGGGCGCAGAUGAUUAUUUUGCAGAUGAAGAAAUCGAGGUUUCAGGACAGUUGGUUGUUCCAUCACAUGGUGAGUCAGUAGCAGAACUGCAGUGAGAACAGCUGGACCCAGCAUUACAUCCACUUGGCAAGGAGAAGUGCCUCUUAGGCCAGGCAAGUGAGGAGACUCAAGUCCAAGUCCUAGCAGCAGGGAUGGGUGAGAGCCGCCAUUUGUUGACUUCUGCUCUGGGCCAGAGCGUGUGUACCUCAUCCCCAACGCAGGUGCCACACCCACAGUCACUGGCCGGUAGGACUCUCUGUGAUGGCGACAGUGGUCCAUUCUGCACUGUCCAGUGUGGGAGCCACUAGUCAUGUGUGACUGUGGGGCACUUGAAAUGUGUCUAGUGCACCUGAGGAACCAUAGUUUUAAUUUAAAUAGUCCCAUGUAGCUUCGUGGCUGCUGUUAUUGGACAGCGUAGAACUGGAUGAAGGCUCAGGGGGUUGAGGGUCACACAGGAAGUGGCUGAGUCCAGAUUCAAGUCCAGAUCUGUGAGAUUGCAAAGCCUGUGGCAUUUCCGUUGGCGCCCAGUGUCGGGAGGGAGAUGCGCACGAGUGGUGGACAUUGGCUGUGAGGUUCAGAAGGCUUCAUUUCAUUUGUGAAGGCUGCCCCUCACUCCCUGGCUGUGCGCUCGGACAGCCACAUCACCGCUGUACCCUCCUGCAUCUUCAUCCUCGUCAGCGUUGAUGCUGUUAUAUUGACCACCCGUCACCCCCAGGCUGGGCGCCGGGGCUCUACCUCCAUCAGGACUGAGCCUGAUACUGAAUCUACAAUAACACUACUGUGACCCCAUUUCCCGGAGUCAAUAGAGGCUCAAAAAGAUUGAGAAACUUGCCCAAGGUCACCAGCUUUUACUGGAAGGGUCACAUUGGCAUAAAUACAAAAUACCCUAUUUUUGUUCCUUUUUCUCACCAGCUCCAGACCAGAGCUAAAGCGAAAUUAGAAAGUGCCACAGAGGCAGCCAGGAAGCCCUCCCACUUCCCAUCACACACUUCGCUGGCCCCUAUCUUUGAGAAGACAGCAUUGUACUGAGCAUGCUGUCUGGGCACAGCCACUGCUCCCAGAGAGUGGGCAGAGGGCCAGGCACGCCACUCCUGGGGGGCAGCCUCGCCUGUGUGUUUGCAGCUUUCUCACAACUAUUCUAGAAAGCACUUGCCUCAAGUAAAUGCUUUUUUUAAAAGCAUAUGUAAUCUUAAAUACGAUUUUUGUUUCAUCAUGGAACAAGAUGUGUUAGUUCCAGCACACUUACAAUGCAAGUCAUGAGAAGACGCAAUUCAUUGUCACUCAUGAGCUGUGUGACCUUGGUCGAGUCUUUUCAGCCCCACCCCCGCAAGUGGAUUAGAUAACCUCCACGAGCCCUCCUCCAACGUUUCUGAUUCCUUGGGUAGCAUGGGAAGUAGAGAAACCAGGGUUCUGGCUCGGACUGCCACUUUCACGGUGUGUGACUUACCUCUGAGCCUUGGGCUUCUCAUCUGUAAGGAUGCCAUUCCUGUGGAGUGGGAGCGCCCAGCAAGAUCUGGCACAAGAAGAGCCUGGCAUGGGGCUGCCAUGGGGCGCGUGCUCAGUGAAGGUCCUGAUAACGCUUUUGUGCUGCAUGCACAAGACCCAGCGAUACCCCAUGGCCCCAUCUCAAGGAACAAGGAAGAGAUGUUGGAAGAAGUCUCUGUCCUCAACUGGGAGGAGAAACAUGCCCUCUUCGGGCCAAGAUGGUGGCACCAGUGCUGAGAACAGCACCAAAGAGCCUCCUGUGGCAGCUUUCACUGCAGGGCAGCCUUGCCCCCUCACCUUAGUGGGUGUGGGCCUUGGGGGCUGUGCCCACCAGUGGCACAGCUGGGAGGAUCUGGAAGGGACAGGUAACAGAAGCAUUUAGUCCUGGAAGAGGGAGGUUUCCCAGAGCUGAGGGGAGGGCAUGGCUCAAGAGAGGAGCAGGGCACGAGGACAGUGGCUCAGCCAUCCCUGCCAGCCCUGGUCUGAAGCAAGCCUAGAGUCCAGGAUAGCCCCCAGGCUGACAGUCAGGGAUAUGGAGUCAGAUGGUCAAAUGUCAACACUGUUGCUGCCCGGCACUGUGACUGAGCACGCCAUUUAAGCUCUCUGAGCCUUAUUUGCAUCUUCUGUGAAAUGGGGAGGGUAGGGGGUAGAAUGUAAUACCCAGGAAGGCCCCUGUGUGAUGCCAGCCAGAGUGGGCUCAGUAGUGGUUAUUAGUUUCCUGGGGCCUGACCCAGCUGUUGCAGGAGAAGUCUGUGCUGGGUGCUCUGGCCUCUGGUGUCCGUGAGGCAACAGAGAGGAGUGAGUCUGCUGCGAUCCCCACUGCUGACCUCGGGAAGGCUGUGACCUCGGCGCCAACUGGGAGAACCAGGGCCUGAGGUCUGGGGAUGCUGGAGUCCAAGUCUCUCGGGUUACGCCUGGCUGGCCGAGUGAACAAGACCAGAACCCCAGGUUUGGGGAGGGCUUCCUCAUCUGACCACUCAGGAGCCCUGAGGAUAGGAUCCCCUGGACACCAUGGGUCACUCCCAUCUUCUGGUCAGAACCUUUCUCACAGGCCUUCCUGGGGACCUGGACCUAGACUGCCAGGGGGGCAGGGGGCACAGAGCCUCGAGGUUCCCAACAUGGAACUGUGAGUACCCCCAGCCAAGCACACACACUCAGGGCCAUCCUCCUCCCCAUCCACCAACCCACACCCUCUGCCAGCCUUUCCCACCCAGCUUCCCCCCAGUCCUGCAAGCGCAGCCCAAAUGUCUCCCACUGCAGAAAGUGGCCUCUGUGACCUCAGCCAGGGAACUCCUUCCCUGGACUCCUCCCAUACUUUGUACAACCCAUAGUAUUGAGCAUGUGGUCAUGUGUGUUCAUGUCUUUUUAUUACUUUUUUCUGAUAGAAUAUAUGUAACAAAGUCUACCUUUUUAACCAUUUUUAAGUGUCAUGUUUAGUAGCAUUAAGUACAUUCUUACUGGUGCAACCACCAUUACCACCUGUCUCCAGAACUUUUUCAUCAUUUCAUACUGAAGCUCUGUAUCCAUCAAACAUUCUCUUUGCCCCAGAAAGAAGCCUCGUAUCUGUUGU